GAUGAACGCUGGCGGCGUGCCUAACUCAUGCAAGUCGAGCGAAGCACUUACUUUAGAUUUCUUCGGAAUGACGAAGUUUGUGACUGAGCGGCGGACGGGUGAGUAACGCGUGGGCAACCUGCCCUGUACAGGGGGAUCACCGUUAGAAAUGACUGCUAAUACCGUAUAAGCCCACAGCUUCGCAUGAAGCAGUGGGAAAAACUCCGGUGGUACAGGAUGGGCCCGCGUCUGAUUAGCUAGUUGGUAAGGUAACGGCUUACCAAGGCGACGAUCAGUAGCCGACCUGAGAGGGUGACCGGCCACAUUGGGACUGAGACACGGCCCAAACUCCUACGGGAGGCAGCAGUGGGGAAUAUUGCACAAUGGGGGAAACCCUGAUGCAGCGACGCCGCGUGAGCGAUGAAGUAUUUCGGUAUGUAAAGCUCUAUCAGCAGGGAAGAAAGUGACGGUACCUGACGAAGAAGCCCCGGCUAACUACGUG
This 481-nucleotide ribosomal RNA is filed under the name uncultured bacterium. RNAcentral's name for it is "partial 16S ribosomal RNA". It matches the Rfam family "Bacterial small subunit ribosomal RNA", at positions 28 to 507 of the family's 1533-position model. The record is from RNAcentral.